GAUGAACGCUGGCGGCGUGCCUAAUACAUGCAAGUCGAGCGAACAGAUGAGGAGCUUGCUCCUCUGACGUUAGCGGCGGACGGGUGAGUAACACGUGGAUAACCUACCUAUAAGACUGGGAUAACUUCGGGAAGCCGGAGCUAAUACCGGAUAAUAUAUUGAACCGCAUGGUUCAAUAGUGAAGGACGGUUUUGCUGUCACUUAUAGAUGGAUCCGCGCCGCAUUAGCUAGUUGGUAAGGUAACGGCUUACCAAGGCAACGAUGCGUAGCCGACCCGAGAGGGUGAUCGGCCACACUGGAACUGAGACACGGUCCAGCCUCCUACGGGAGGCAGCAGUAGGGAAUCUUCCGCAAUGGGCGAAAGCCUGACGGAGCAACGCCGCGUGAGUGAUGAAGGUCUUCGGAUCGUAAAACUCUGUUAUUAGGGAAGAACAAAUGUGUAAGUAACUAUGCACGUCUUGACGGUACCUAAUCAGAAAGCCACGGCUAACUACGUG
RNAcentral lists this ribosomal RNA (497 nucleotides) under uncultured bacterium. RNAcentral's name for it is "partial 16S ribosomal RNA". It matches the Rfam family "Bacterial small subunit ribosomal RNA", at positions 28 to 507 of the family's 1533-position model. The record is from RNAcentral.